GGAAUAUAGAAAUUGUCAUCCAAAAUCAUCCUUUACAAAUCCCAUGUCUUAUAUAUUGAUCCCUCUAGCUUUCUAUAGUGACCGGUGCUUCUUUUUGCUGCAUUGGGGUCUCUUUUCACGUCUUUCUCUUGACAUGAACUAGAUUCCCUAGUGCGAUAUAUCUAGCUUUCUUCUUCAUAUAUAUCGCAUCCUGUUUAUGGCCAAACCACAAGAAAAACCAGCAGCAACAGUCAGCGAAAGCUCACAAUUAAUCAGAAACCCAUUUCAUUGAAGAUUAUGAAGGUGCAGAUAUGUCCUCUGGUUGUUGCUGUUUCUAUAGACUUUGCUGGAAAAGAAACAACAAUGGAUCACAUAGAUAUCUCUUGUCCAAACUAGAGGAGAUAAACGAUGGUUGGUUUGUGGAAAGAGCAAGGAAACUAAAGGAAAUUUCAGAGGUUUUGGCUGGGCCAAGGUGGAAGAAUUUUAUUCGCAGGUUUACUAAAGUGCAUGGAUUCAACAAGAAAAGAAGGACGCAAUAUCAAUAUGAUCCUCAAAGUUAUGCACUUAAUUUUGAUGAUGGGAUUGAUAAAGAUGCAGAAGAUGCAUUUCCUGAUUUUUCAGCUAGAUUUUCAGCUCCAGUUGGGAUGUACAAAGGCUAAUUGGGGUGUGUUUGACCUGGUAUUAGAUUGAUUCUUGCUGAUUAUAAUUUCGUUGUUUGCUGGUUUUUCCAUUUAAUCUUCUACUUGUAAUAGUUCCCAUUACUCUGAACCAUGUAUAUUGCACAUUCUUAUGUUUAUUACUAUUGAACAACCCUAACGAGUCAUUAUAAUCACUGAAUGAAUUGUUGGUAAGACUACGAGGUCUUAAGUUGAAACCCAAAUCGAAACGAACUGCUCUCAUGUCAAUUAUGCUCUUGGAACAAUCCAUUUUUAUUGAGAAACCAGUUAUA
This 928-nucleotide unclassified non-coding RNA is filed under the name Hevea brasiliensis (rubber tree). Lineage: Eukaryota; Viridiplantae; Streptophyta; Magnoliopsida; Malpighiales; Euphorbiaceae. The record is from RNAcentral.